ACCUGCGCUGCCAUUUCACGAUCGGUUAAGCCGCCGCAAAUCUGGAUCAGACGAUCUGAUAACGUUGAUUUGCCGUGGUCAAUGUGCGCGAUGAUCGAAAAGUUUCUUAUAUGCUUCAUUAUGGAGGUUAUUCUGCCUUACAAAUGCUGAAACUCUCGCGAUGCAACCUCAGGAGAGCGUGUAAUAUCACAGGCGGAGACGGCCCGAAAGGCGCAUUGUACACGACAUAUCAGGGUGGUGGAAUCAUCGCGCCGGGAGAUAAAGCAAGGAAAACGGGAUGAUAGCGUAUUUGCCGCGAUGGUGGUGAAAAAAAGCGCAAAACAUUAGCCGAACGAGGAUUGCCCGUCCGGCGAAAGCUUACAGCGCCUCUUGCUCCACGCGCAGCGCGUCGGGGGGAAGCAUGAUAUUGAGAAUAACCGGCUGGAAGGCUUCGCGAGCGCCAAAGCGCGACGAGACGCCUUUCGCGACGAUAAAGCCGCCGAUGCCGCCGAGCAGCGCGCCGCAGGCGGCCGCCAGAUCGGUAUGGAACUGCAUCUGGAACAGGCCCGCCAGCAGGAACAAUCCGAGCAGCGGCGUCAUAUACACCAGCAGCGCCGAUCCCAGCAGGCUGCUUUCGCGGAUGCCCAGCUCUACGCGCUGGCCCGGCUGCAGCGGCUUUUCGCUGGCGAUCUGCAUCACGUGCGCGUUUUUCGGCCCCAGCUUGUUCAGCAUGGCGCUGCCGCACCCUUUACGCGCCGAGCAGCUGUUGCAGGUCGUUUUCACUUCCGAGUGCAGCGUGGCGAUGCCGUCCUGCCACGCAACCACCGUGGCCCAUUCUCUCAUCAUCGUUGCGUACCUAAGUUGAUGCUGUCGGCGAUACGC
This is a non-coding RNA of Pantoea sp. PSNIH2, 861 nucleotides long. NCBI's taxonomy places the organism in Bacteria, Pseudomonadati, Pseudomonadota, Gammaproteobacteria, Enterobacterales, Erwiniaceae. The record is from Rfam.